GGACUACCGGGGUAUCUAAUCCCGUUUGCUCCCCUGGCUUUCGCGUCUCAGCGUCAGAAAACGUCCAGGACCUCGCUUUCGCCACGGGCGUUCCUUCCGAUCUCAACGCAUUUCACCGCUCCACCGGAAGUUCCAGGUCCCCCUACGUUCCUCCAGGAAGGUCGUAUCGGCGCCACUUCCCCGGUUGAGCCGGGGGAUUUCAACGACCGACGUGCCCUCCCGCCUACACGCGCUUUAAGCCCAGUGAUUCCGAAUAACGUUCGCACGGUUCGUCUUACCGCGGCUGCUGGCAC
Molecule: ribosomal RNA, 293 nt
Filed under: uncultured bacterium
Lineage: Bacteria
Also listed under: 2 other names
Description: partial 16S ribosomal RNA
Source: RNAcentral